GCUCCGGUAGCUCAACAGGUUAGAGCACGUGCCUUAUAAGCGCGAGGUUGCGGGUUCAAGGCCCGCUCGGGGUACCA
RNAcentral lists this transfer RNA (77 nucleotides) under bacterium. RNAcentral's name for it is "tRNA-Ile". It matches the Rfam family "tRNA". From Rfam's summary of the family: Transfer RNA (tRNA) molecules are approximately 80 nucleotides in length. Their secondary structure includes four short double-helical elements and three loops (D, anti-codon, and T loops). The record is from RNAcentral.